GACGAACGCUGGCGGCGUGCCUAAUACAUGCAAGUCGAACGAACCGCGACUAGGUGCUUGCACUUGGUCAAGGUGAGUGGCGAACGGGUGAGUAACACGUGGGUAACCUACCUCAUAGUGGGGGAUAACAGUCGGAAACGACUGCUAACACCGCAUAGGACAUGGGAUCACAUGAUUCUGUGAGGAAAGGUGGCGCAAGCUAUCGCUAAGAGAUGGACCCGCGGUGCAUUAGCUAGUUGGUAGGGUAAGGGCCUACCAAGGCGAUGAUGCAUAGCCGACCUGAGAGGGUGAUCGGCCACAUUGGGACUGAGACACGGCCCAAACUCCUACGGGAGGCAGCAGUAGGGAAUCUUCCGCAAUGGACGCAAGUCUGACGGAGCAACGCCGCGUGAGUGAAGAAGGUCUUCGGAUCGUAAAGCUCUGUUGUUAGAGAAGAACAGCGCAUAGAGUAACUGUUAUGCGUGUGACGGAUCUACCAGAAAGC
This 484-nucleotide ribosomal RNA is filed under the name Abiotrophia defectiva. RNAcentral describes it as "bacterial SSU rRNA". It matches the Rfam family "Bacterial small subunit ribosomal RNA", at positions 28 to 491 of the family's 1533-position model. The record is from RNAcentral. Lineage: Bacteria; Bacillati; Bacillota; Bacilli; Lactobacillales; Aerococcaceae.